GUUCAAAUAGUUUAAGAAAAAUUCAAGUUUGUGGUACUUGAGAUGUAAAUAUUUACUUUGGACU
This 64-nucleotide transfer RNA is filed under the name Epopella plicata. RNAcentral describes it as "tRNA-His". The record is from RNAcentral. Lineage: Eukaryota; Metazoa; Arthropoda; Thecostraca; Balanomorpha; Austrobalanidae.